UGCCAGCCGCCGCGGUAAUACGGAGGGUGCAAGCGUUGUUCGGAAUUAUUGGGCGUAAAGAGCAUGUAGGCGGACUGUUAAGUCUGGCGUGAAAGCCCGGGGCUCAACCCCGGAAGUGCGUUGGAUACUGGCAGUCUUGAGUAUGGGAGAGGAAAGUGGAAUUCCGAGUGUAGAGGUGAAAUUCGUAGAUAUUCGGAGGAACAUCAGUGGCGAAGGCGACCUCCUGGACUGAUAUUGACGCUGAGGUGCGAAAGCGUGGGGAGCAAACAGGAUUAGAUA
RNAcentral lists this ribosomal RNA (279 nucleotides) under uncultured bacterium. RNAcentral describes it as "partial 16S ribosomal RNA". It matches the Rfam family "Bacterial small subunit ribosomal RNA", at positions 506 to 784 of the family's 1533-position model. The record is from RNAcentral.